RNAcentral lists this ribosomal RNA (253 nucleotides) under uncultured bacterium. RNAcentral's name for it is "partial 16S ribosomal RNA". It matches the Rfam family "Bacterial small subunit ribosomal RNA", at positions 524 to 776 of the family's 1533-position model. The record is from RNAcentral.
UACGGGGGGGGCAAGCGUUGUUCGGAAUUACUGGGCGUAAAGGGCUCGUAGGUGGCCAACUAAGUCAGACGUGAAAUCCCUCGGCUUAACCGGGGAACUGCGUCUGAUACUGGAUGGCUUGAGUGUGGGAGAGGGAUGCGGAAUUCCAGGUGUAGCGGUGAAAUGCGUAGAUAUCUGGAGGAACACCGGUGGCGAAGGCGGCAUCCUGGACCAUUACUGACACUGAAAAGCGAAAGCAAGGGGAGCAAACGGG